AUCACUUCUCUGCCUUUUGGCUAAGAUCAAGUGUAGUAUCUGUUCUUAUCAGUUUAAUGUCUGUUGCGUCCCCUAUCCGGGGACCAUAUAUUAAAUUGAUUAUUUGAACAGGGAGAUGGAAUAGAAGGUUGCUCAGUCCACUCCACGCAUCAGCCCAGUAUUGCAGUGCUUCUGGGAAUGAUGCACCCCCU
Pangasianodon hypophthalmus (striped catfish) is the source of this 191-nucleotide small nuclear RNA. RefSeq annotates it as U2 spliceosomal RNA. Lineage: Eukaryota; Metazoa; Chordata; Actinopteri; Siluriformes; Pangasiidae. The transcript has a single exon. The record is from RefSeq and is a predicted model, not a curated record.